GCAUAGUUCGAUUCAUUACAAGGUCUAUAGUGUAUGCCUUGUUUUGUAUUGCUGUUGGGUUCGUUUCAGUUGGUGCAUUACCAGCUCGUGCGGCUGUUGCUCCUGUUGUUAGUGAAGUUACAUUCAAAAAGAAAGAGAGAGAAGUGAAUGAAGAAUCGCAUUCUAAGGGCCAUGAGUAUUCAGAUUACACUAGAAGUUUGUUAGAAGAGGUUUCAUGGUUGUUGAAGUGUAUAGAGGAGACUAGGAGGGGAAACGGGAGUUUGGAGGAAGUGCGAUUGGCGUUAAAGGCAGUAAAAGCAAAGAAAGAAGGAUUACAAGGGCAGAUAAUGGAGGGGCUGUAUUCGGAAGAGGGGGAAUUGAAAAAAGAAAAAUUGAGUUUGGAGAACCGUGCAGAGGAGAUCAUGGAUGAAGCGGUGAAGGUUAGAAGAGAAUACGAGAAUUUGGUGGGAAGUGCUGAGAAAGAGAGGAUGCAGGAGUUGGAGGAGAGAAUGAGAGUGAUAGAGGAGGAUUAUAGUCGGGUGUGGGAUAGAGUUGGGGAGAUUGAGGAUGCAAUUUUGAGGAGGGAGACAAUGGCAAUGAGUCUUGGGAUCAGGGAGCUUUGCUUCAUUGAGAGGGAGUGUGAGGAGUCG
This 629-nucleotide unclassified non-coding RNA is filed under the name Hevea brasiliensis (rubber tree). The record is from RNAcentral. Lineage: Eukaryota; Viridiplantae; Streptophyta; Magnoliopsida; Malpighiales; Euphorbiaceae.